GAUGAACGCUAGCGGCAGGCCUAAUACAUGCAAGCCGAACGGCAAGUCUUAUAGCAAUAUGAGACCUAGAGUGGCGUAAGGGUGCGUAACACGUAUGCAAUCUGCCCGCAACCGGAGGAUAGCUCCCCGAAAGGGGAAUUAAGACUCCAUAAAAAUGGAGAGGUGGCAUCACCAUUUCAUUAAAUUACAAGAGGUUGUGGAUGAGCAUGCGCAUGAUUAGUUAGUUGGCGGGGUAAGGGCCCAUCAAGACGAUGAUCAUUAGGGGAACUGAGAGGUUGA
Molecule: ribosomal RNA, 279 nt
Filed under: uncultured bacterium
Lineage: Bacteria
Description: partial 16S ribosomal RNA
Rfam family: Bacterial small subunit ribosomal RNA
Source: RNAcentral